Molecule: ribosomal RNA, 501 nt
Filed under: Kaburagia rhusicola ovogallis
Lineage: Eukaryota; Metazoa; Arthropoda; Insecta; Hemiptera; Aphididae
Also listed under: 2 other names
Description: partial 16S ribosomal RNA
Source: RNAcentral
AAAAACAUAGUAUUAAGAUUUAUUUAAUAUAGAAUCUGCUCAAUGAUUUAAUUUAAAUAGCUGCAGUAUUUUGACUGUGCAAAGGUAGCAUAAUAAUUAGUCUUUUAAUUGGGGACUGGAAUGAAAGAUUUGAUGAAAAAUAAACUUUAUUAUUUAUAAAAUUAAAAUUUUAUUUUUAAGUAAAAAAGCUUAAAUAUUUUAAAGGGACGAUAAGACCCUAUAAAACUUUAUAAUUAUUGUUAUUAAAAUUUUUGGGUUAUAUAAAUUUUAAUAUUUUUAAUUAUUUUAUUGGGGUGAUAAAAAAAAUUAUUUAACUUUUUUUAAAAUUUUACAUUAAUUAAUGAUAUUUUGAAUUAAAAUUUUUAAUUAUAUGAAAAAGUUACUUUAGGGAUAACAGCGUAAUUAGUUUUUUAAGUUCAAAUUUAAAAAUUAGUUUGCGACCUCGAUGUUGAAUUAAGAUUAGUCUUAGGUGCAAAAUUUUAAGUUAUAGGUCUGUUCGAC